GACGAGCGCUGGCGGCGUGCCUAAUACAUGCAAGUCGAGCGCAGGAAACCGUCUGAACCCUUCGGGGGGACGACGGUGGAAUGAGCGGCGGACGGGUGAGUAACACGUAAAGAACCUGCCCACGGGUCUGGGAUAACCACGAGAAAUCGGGGCUAAUACCGGACGGGUCAUCGGACCGCAUGGUCCGAGGAUGAAAGGCGCUCCGGCGUCGCCCGUGGGUGGCUUUGCGGUGCAUUAGCUAGUUGGUGGGGUAACGGCCCACCAAGGCGACGAUGCAUAGCCGACCUGAGAGGGUGAUCGGCCACACUGGGACUGAGACACGGCCCAGACUCCUACGGGAGGCAGCAGUAGGGAAUCUUCCACAAUGGACGAAAGUCUGAUGGAGCAACGCCGCGUGAACGAUGAAGGCCCUCGGGUCGUAAAGUUCUGUUGUAAGGGAAGAACAAGUGCCGCAGGGAAUGGCGGCACCUUGACGGUACCUUGCGAGAAAGCCACGGCUAACUACGUGCCAGCCGCCGCAGUAA
This 524-nucleotide ribosomal RNA is filed under the name uncultured bacterium. Its description in RNAcentral is "partial 16S ribosomal RNA". It matches the Rfam family "Bacterial small subunit ribosomal RNA", at positions 28 to 523 of the family's 1533-position model. The record is from RNAcentral.